Molecule: long non-coding RNA, 26964 nt
Filed under: Ananas comosus (pineapple)
Lineage: Eukaryota; Viridiplantae; Streptophyta; Magnoliopsida; Poales; Bromeliaceae
Description: long non-coding RNA (ACOM_LNC044563)
Source: RNAcentral
UUUCGAUUACGGAUAUAAAAAAUAAAAAUUCAACAAAUUCUAGUUCGGUUAUGGUUUGUAACCCGACCCACUAUGAACAAUAACUCGUUAGCCCAAACCACCUGCCCAAAAUACUUAAGUCCGGUUAUUAUUACUAGCGUGUAGGUCUUAUAUAAACCGAUCGAAAUCAGUAUUCUAUCCGAUGUGGGACUAUUGGGGGUGUUACAUGGUUAGUCCAAAACCACACCCUAAAAACCCUAUAAUAUACAAAUAAUGUAAUUUUGCAUAUGUUUAUUUUAAUAAGUAAUAUGUAUUAAUAAAAUUUUAAAAUAUUUAGCAUGUUAAAUAGUCAAGUUAAGCUUUUCGGUUUUGGGUAUGGGUUUUGGGCUUGUAUUCACAUUCAGUUUCGGGUUUGGAUGUUUAUACUUGGUCGGGUAUGGAUUCCUACUUCUUGGGCCUACGACAAAAGACAAAAUGGACCCUGGGGCCCGGCCCGGUACGGCCCAUAAUUUUAAUAAAGAGGUCGACUUCGCAAUAAGCCUCACUUCCUAUUGGGUCGGCCCGGCCCAUUAUUAUCCAUCCAUAUUAAUAAAUUUUAUGUUAACUACCCCUUUAGUAGAACUCCUAAUAACCAUAACCAUAUAUGCUUCAUAAACUAAGUAACUAACAUUAAAAAGAUUAAAAAAUUAAAAUUAAAAUACUUAAUAAUAUUUUUAAAAUAAAAAUUAAAAAAAUAGCCCGGUCCGCCAAUUGUCGACAAUUGUUGGUACAACAUUAAUCUUUUCUUAACUUGUGUAUCCAAGGCUUAAGAUCCAACCUGUCUCAGGACAUGUUGAGCAUGAGUAACUUACAAAAUAAAUCAAAUCACAUCUCGUCCUCAAUUACAUCCAUAUUUUAUGGUGCAGAAUUUCUAAAAGAGAUUCCUUUCUCACAUCAGCAACUACAAAUAUAAGCAAUUCAAAAAAAGAAAGAAAGAAAGAAGAUCCUGAUUUUAAGUCACUCUGUUUGUGCUUAGCACUACUGCACUACUUUAUUCCCCCACUACUAUGAAUUAAGAUAUCCUGUGGAGGACACCUUAGAACAUGGAAUGAAGAAUAAAAGCAGUGGAUGUCAUGUCAUGAUCAUUUGAGUAUGAGUUUCUUCAUCCAAGUAGUUUGUGUUAUUUAUUUAUUUUGCUUCAUUGUGCUGCUACAGUGAGGAUGUGAUUCUGCAUCAUCUAUUUUAUUUACCUUCACUGCCGAAUAUGUCCAACUAAUUACCAGAAUUUAUAUGAGAUGCAGAAAUUUCACCACUGUAUUAGCUAAGUUAAUGAGUUAGUGGAUCUCGUAGUUCGCCUAUUACGAGUAUUCAAAUAAUCCGACAUAAACUAUGCAAAUGAUACAUACUUCUUUGGUAAGAAAAUUAUAACUGUAUUUGAUCUGAAAUGUCACUAACUUCUUCUGCAGGUGCGUACAGCGCAUUUCUAUUCUCCUUUAGAGAUUUGCAGGAACAAAGCAAAAUUAGACCGAAUCAUAAUCUUUAGAUAAAGGUCAUUUCCAUGUUUUUUUUGUUGCAAGAUUACUGCAGAAAAUAGCGGCAGAAGAGAACAAUGUGUGAUAAAUUUUGUCACAAGCUCUUUCAUUCCCUUUCUUUUGUAACAAAUUUGACACCAGUAUGUAUUGAGGAAAUAAAAACUGAAACCUAGAGGUUAGACUAAAAUAUACUUUCAUUUCUACAAGCCUUCUAAACGCAUGUGCUCUAGUCGAUUCUGUACCGUCGGGGGCAAAAAAAAAAGGGGGGGCUCAGAUGAGGAUGAUGACAAUUUUUACUCUUCUGUUUAAAGAAAAUGACAAAUAGUUAUUCCUUUGUAUUGAGUUAUUUCUAUGUAAUUUUACUAGUAAAGAUAAGCGAUAAGAUAAAUAAAGACGAAUGCCAAGCAUUAACAGUGAUCAAAGCUGACAAAAUAUUUCUAGACAGGAAACCAUGUGCAAACUUCUAGAUUUUACUCAAGAUGAAAAUCAGCAGCAGCUACAGAUUGCGAGAAUCGGUUGCCAAAACAGUAUACAAAUGGUUUCUGAGGUAAGGAAGAAAAAAAAGAAAAUCACCCAGUGCAUCAAACCAAAAAGAAGGAAAAAAGAGAAAAGAAAGAAAAAGAAUAACAGUUCCCUUUCUACAAGAGGGAUGGAAGAAUCACUCGACUGCGAGAUCUACCAUUGCUCUAACAACUAUUUACAUUCAAAUCCAUAGCUGUAUCCAAUUCCUUUUACUCUAAAAAAUCUCCCUUAAUGACGAGCCGUCGGGCUUCUCAAGCCCCCCAAGUGCUCAACUUUCUCUAUAUAAGAAAAUUUCUUGGUUGGCUCGAUUUUUGGUGGCUUCUUCAAGUCCGCGGUCUCAUCUUCCUUCGUUUUGGAUUCCUCCGAAUCGAAAUGCCAACCCAUGAAGUCCCAUAGUGUCAUUGAAUUCGGCGCUUCUUUCAACUUCUCCAUCUCUACUUUGGGGUCCAAUUUCUUCGCGGGUCCUGCCGGUGUCUCCGAAUCUGAUAACGAGUACCUUCUGGUUGAGUCCUUGAGGGAUGGGUCUUGAGUGAGGGAAUCGGCGUAGAGGACGUCUUCAAUUCGCGACAUCACGCUGAAUGCUAAGCUUUCUAGAAUACGUGAGUAGCUUUCAAGAAUGGCGUGCCCGGCGUCCUGGAGAAAAUUCAAAAACAUUUCUUCGUCAUUGAGUAGUUAAUCAAAUUCGUUGCUUGGAAUUUGUCCCCAACCAAACGCGACCUUACGAACCGAAAGAUAGAGAAAGAAAGUGAAUUUUGUUUUCCUUACUUUAUUGUAUUGGAUCUUGCUGAUGUCGAGGGAGGACUGAGGGAUGCCAGGGAAUUUGUGCUUGAGGAGAUGUAAGAUGGUCUCUGCUCUCUCUUCGAACGCCUCCCGCUUCUCCAGGCUGACCAUCGAACCCCAUGAGGACUUGCCAUCCUUGUUGUGCAUCUUCCUCUUCCAAAUGACUAUAGACGCCUCGAUUCGGUUCUUGAGGUCGAGGACAUUGUGCUCCGUCGACAGGUCCAUCGAUGCGAGGAAUUCCUCAGGGUCGAAGUCAGUAUCAACUGUUAUGCUCUUGUAUAUCACAUCUCCAAGGCUUGCCCUCCCAUUCUACAUUUGAAUUUUGAUUAAAUAAGUAACAUAUUUAUAAUUUUAGUACAAAUUUGAAGUGCAGUAGUAGGGAGAAUGAGAAUGUUUUAGGGGUAUAUAUAUUUAUACCCUUGGUAGUGAUUCAAUGUAGACCUCAGGGACCUCCAUUUCCAUAAGAACCUGAGCAUUUAUCGCCAUAGCCGCCUUGAGCACUUGGUUCGCAGACUCCUUUUGGUAUUGCAGCCAUUUUCUCGACAUCUCAGAAAGACCGUUAGACGGGACUUUCACAGUUGGAAGCCACCACUUGUCGCCUUUCCUUUGAGCACUCCCCUCAUCCGACUCUUCACUGUCGGCCUUUACAUACCAAAAUUCAGUCUGAUCUUUAAAGUUGUCGAGAAAACCCUGAAUUUCCAUACAAACAACAAAAAAAGAAGUAUUAGUACCUUCAUCUAGUAAGCUUUAACAUGUAAAUUUUGCUUUUGGACAAAGAGAGAAUUGUUUUUCUUACUAUGAGCAUCGCAUCUAGCUUUUUCAAUGCAGGGAUGUUCAUCUGAAGAUCUCUUCGUUGCUGGGUUAUCAUUAUCUGUGCGAAGAGAGAAACCAAGCAAUGUUAAAAGUUUAAUGCAGGUGCCUAUCGCAGUAUCGCUCUCUCGUUUCAGAUUGCACAACCACAUAAGAAUCUAGGAAGUAAAGAUUAUGAAAGACAACAAUUGAAAAGGAAUUUGGUUGUGACCUCCAUGCUUUGUCCAUCUUUUGUUGUCUGUGCCGAAGGAACAAACUCGACAAUGUGAUCAGUGACGGAUAGAAGCCAAUCGACUUCUUUCCUCCAUCGUGCCCUCAACUCGGGAGGUAUUGGUUCCAAUUUCCGGUGUUCACCGAAAACUGAGGCUGAAGAAAUACAAAAAAUAACAAUAAAAUAAAUUCAUUACGAAUCAACUCGAUUGACAGUUUUUGGAUAUAUCUACUAGCAUCUUAAUUUAUAUAAAUCUAUCAAGAUGAUGGUUUACUCCCUUUUCUAAACUCGAGAACUUGUUUCAAUAUGGCCAUCUUAUAACAAUGAGAUACAUAAUAGGAUUAGAAAAGUACCGGCGAGAUUUGUGAUGGCAUUGGAGAUAGCAAGAGCUGAGGAAACUCCUUUUCCGGAGCCUGACAUGUCCUCUCCAAGAAGAAGCUUCGCGAAUCUCUCCUUCAUUAGCUCCAUAUCUGGAUCACAGAAACCAAAUUAUUGAUGAUCAGUCAACAAGAAUCAUAAAUAUGAGUCAUAAAUUGCACCAGGGCAUGCACCUCAACCUUGUUAACACAUUUUCAAUAUCAUCCUUAAAAGCACAGCUUUUUACUAUUGAUUCCUCGGUGUCUGACAAUGAAAUCCUCUAAAAAUUAUAACAUGAUAUGAAUGGAACAAUGAGUUUCACCUGAAGGAGGCCCCUCCCGACCACCAUUGGCGGCGGCACCGCCAUGGCGAGACCUUACAGUUGUCUCCGAUGCCCCGCCAGUCGAUGCUGCAGCCGCUGAACCAUUCCCGCCCACACCACCGAUUUCGAACAUCUCCUUCGCACCACCUCGCGACCACUUCUCAAGGCUGUGCCCCCUCUUCAGGAACCGGACCAUCACACUGCUCAACGCCUCGAACUUGGAUCGCAGAGCAACAGGCCGGUCCGGAUCAUCCCUCAAGUCGAAGAAACCCACUAUGGAAAAUGUGGAAUUGGAGUGGGAAAGGGGGAAGCUUUGUUGGAGAAUCAAGUGUAGGAGAUGAAAAGAAAGGGAAAGGUGGGAGCUUUUUUUGUUGAAUGGAACUAUAGAGGAGGAGGUAGAAGAAACACAAAAAAAGGGAAAAUGAUGAGAAAGAGUGGGAAAGGUGGGAGCUUUUUUGGUGAAUUGAGCUUCAAAGGGGAAGAGUGAAGAAACCCCAAAAGGAAACAAGGUUAGGAAGUGAGGAAGAGAGGGAAAGUUGGGAGCUUUUUUGGUGAAUUGAGGCCUAAGAGAGGUGGUUGCAGAAACCAAAACAAGGAAAUGGAGUUAGGAGAUGAAGAGAAGCAAAAAUGGGGGCUUGAAUAAGGGGGAGGAGGAGGAGGAGGGGGGGAGAAAACCAUCUUCUCCCAAAAUUUGUGAUUUGCAACAAAAGAGUAUUUUGGGAGUUGGUUUGGGGUGGGUUUGUUUUUCUUCUGGUGAAAUGGGGGGAAUGUCUUUGUUUUUUGUUUGUUUGUUUUUUUUUUUGCCUUUUUUUAAUUUUUUCUGUUUCUAAGAGAUCUAAUGUGGGGUGCAUGUUUGUGGAGGGAGAGAGGGAGAAGUUGGUGGAAGGUACUAUGUAGUAUUAUAAUAUAGAAAGGAGCAGUUUUCUGGUUGGUUGAACUUGUUAGAGAGAGGAGAGAAUAAAUGGGUAGGGCUUAACCCUAAAAAUAAUAAUAAUAAUAAUAAUAAUAAUAAAUCUUAUCCACUUGAUUUGAAGAGGUAUGAGGCAAAGAAAAAGCCCGGGAAAAGUGCAUGAGAAUGCUCCCUCCCACUCUCUUUUGUGCUUCCCAUUAUAGGAGUCAUUUGGGUCCAUCAAAUGGACAAAGUUUUAGCCAUUUGAAGAAUCCAAUGAAUCCUUUAAGAUCUAAUGGCACCAAAAGGCAAAAGGUUGUAGAAAACUAUAUGCUUGUCCAAUUGUCUCAAUUAUUGUACCUGUAUUCCCCAACUAUUGCAACUUAAUUUCUGAACUUUUCAUUUAAAUGUUUCAGUUCAUGAGGUUUCUCAUAUAUUGCAUUUUCAUCAUUGGCCACUUAAAAGAGGGGGGAAAAAACUCAUAAAAAGCUUUCCCCCCCUGUUUCAAGUACAUAAACAAGAUUAGUCAUAUGUAAAAAAAGGAUAAAAUAGUUAUUUUAUAGAAAAAGAACUUUUUUUAAGUUCCAAUAUCAGGAUAAUACAGAGAUCAUUUAUGCAUUCCCCUCAUACAACCAAAAACAUGUCUGUAUUGUCAACUCAUAAAAAUUUAAUUUUAUCACUUCAAAAAGUAAAUAAUACAAAUAAUAGAAUCAUGCAGCUGGCAACAUUAGAAAAAAAAAAAAAAAUUUACAUGACAGUUUUAUUCUUUUCAGUCAAACUGCACCGAUAUUCGAUGAGAGUUCCAGCUCAACUAGUUUUGACCAGCAGGAUGUUACUCUUCCAUUAUAGUAAUGCAUAACACAGUCCAGAUUUUGUAAUCACACAGCACAAUCCUUUAGCAUUCCUCUUAUCAUGAAUUAAACAAUUUUUUCACCACCAAAACAAAUGCCGCACCACAUCCAAUAGAACUAACAAUUAUUAAAUAUCAUACAAAUCAAGGAGCACAGGAGUACAAUCUGAUGUUAUCUGAAUGGAGGUUUCCAUCAGAGCCCCUUUACAAUAUGCUGUAUACUGCAACACAAUGAGAAUCAAAUGCAGGGGAAAAAAAAAAAGAAGAGAAAAGAAUCAAAUGCACUUACUGAAGGGGGCAUAUACAUAAUAAUGAUUAAAAUUAUAGAUUAGAUAUUAACAGAUUUUUUAGUAUGCUACCGUUAUCUACCGGCAACUCUUGAGAAGGUAGGAGGACGGGCUGGAAAGGCUCACCGAUGUCCCUGCAAUACCUAUUUUCUUUGUUUCAGUUCUGGCUGGCAUGGCGCAUCCACUAAAAUCUAGAACUCGGGCCUCUGCCUAUUAACAUAAAAGAAUUUUGUCAACAUGAUAGCCACGGAAUGACUAAUUGGGUGUUAUUAGAGAUAACAAUUGAAUCCGCACAUCGUAUAGCUUACACAAGUCGAUAAGUUACAACUAGAAACCAAAUUGGCUUGCUCAGUUUUAUGCAUGGCUAAACAUUUUUAUAUUGUUAUAAAUAUGUUGACAAAAACUGAAAGAUAGAUGUUUUAGAGGCUGUACCAAACUACCAAUGGACUCCAAGGUCUGAAAAGUGAAAAACCACGACAAAUCUUAUUGUCAAAAGAUUUUUGAUUUAUUAAACUACAGUUCAUGCAACUUCAAUAAUUCAAUGGACAACAUAGAUAACAGUUACUGUCUACCUAAAAAUAAGGUCAAUCAAGGUCCAGCACGAGGGUCAAAACUGAAUCUCAAGUAUGAAAUUGAGAUCACCAUGAAACUUCAGGGACUUGCUACAAUUGAAACUUAGGACAAUUUAUAACCCAAAAUAUAGUGGAGUACCGUGACUUUAGGUGGCAUAUCAAAUACCUUCAUCGACUGGUCUUUCUCUUUCGGGAAAAUUUUCUUGUCUGAUUUCCUUUCCUCAAGACCAAUCCUGGGGCUUCCACUAGCCAACACCUCAUGGGCUUCAGCCACAGCUGCAGCAGUGUGCUCGCUCAACUGCCUCAUCAGCCCGAUGGCAUCAUAGGUUCCAUCUCCUCCAGGACUCAUCAAGUACCCAAUAUCCUGUCAAAGUAUAGAAGAACAGAGACCAGAAAUGUCAAUAUUAAAAAAUUGAUUAGAAAUUCGGAAGUUCUCAAUAUUAAUGAUUUAAAGUAAAUCAUCGCACAUAACAGUUAGGAGAGGCAUUGCAUAAAGAAUAUUAAAAUUCUAUAGAACACCGAAGAAUAUGACUUGGAUGCGUACAGAAAAGCCACUUUUCCUAUACCUGAUAUGUCAUGUCUGUCUCAAUUCUUGGUGCAAGGAGUACUGAGUUCAUGAACCAAGGUGACUUCCAGGCAGAAGGAGAUUCUAUUCCUCGUUUGAUGCUUGGGGUGUCAGCAAGUCUAGCAAGAGUAAGGCCACACUUAGAGGGAGUACAGAGAAUAAAAAAAUGUGGGCUGCAUAUUAAUACAAGGAUCACAGAUCGCACAAUGUGCGUCACUGAUAAUAUCAAAUUACAGAAAGUAUUGUAAGUUAAGAAACCUGCAGCAUCACAUAGAAAAAUAAGAAAUUGGAUAACGAGGUGAAGGGUUGCAUAUAUUCAUCUUACAUGUUUAGAUUCUCAAAAUCUACAUCAAUUGAUGAGCCAAAGUUCUCAACUUUAACCUCUGUUGGUUGUAUAGAUUGUAUAGAAGUAGCAGGUAAUGGAGGCUGGCCUUCCCAUUUACCAACACUAGGAGAAAGGACAGAAAUGAAGUUCAACUGGGAGGUGGAGCAGCAUUUGUCUGAUGUAAAGUCCAAGGGUCUGAAUUGAUGUUUUGAAUACUUUGCACCGGUUUUUGAAUACCCAGGAUAUGAACCACUUUCAGGAGAAAACAUUAAGAGGUCAUUAACGUUAUAUUCAACGAGAAUUCCAGCAUGCUGCUGCAUAGAAAAUUCAUGGACAAACAGCUGUCAAAAUAGUGAACAAUGCAAGGGACAAAGACGAAAUCUCAGUUCCAUGCAUAAAUUCGGUAUUAAUGUGUUGGCAUUAUAUUUUGAUGAACUAUUGGACGAUUGCAAAAAGAUGUCAAAAAUAGAAAAAAUGAAUCGGGCACCAUAAAGCCGUUAAGAAGUACAGAUGAAAUAUGGGAAUAAUGACAAAAGAGCAAAAGCAGGUAUUAUCACCAGUAGAUACAAGUAUAGAGAAUAAUUAUUUUGUACAUUAGUUUUCUGUGUUUCACAAUUUUCCAUGUAAAAUGAACCAGAGUGUCUCGUCAAUAAUGAACAGAUGCUUCAGUAGUCUCAUUUUGUCUGUAAUAGCUACUAUGUCUGGUAUAAUAUUCAUCUGGUAUUUUAGAGAUGUGUGUCUAUUACUUCUACUAAGCGUCUGUUUUCCAAAAUAAAACAAAAUAGGCUGAUAUUGCUCUUGUACUUAUUUGAUGACAUCCAAAUAAUGUUUAUGAUAUUCAUCAAUGAUGAGAAUCCUGCAACAGUAAUCCAAACUUAGGAUAUUUUAUUAUGAAUUAUUGGGUUAUUUUGGUGAGAUGCUUGCUUGGAUAUAUCUUUCAAAGGUUGUAGCAAAAAUUUUUCAAUGAAUUUCCUUUUUUUGAAAUGUUAGGGAUAUAACUUUCAUUGAAAAACAAUUAAUGAAUAAAUUAUAGAAAAAUAAAUUACUUACUUUUUAUAUUGGUAAAGUAUUUAGACCUGGCUAGAACCAAUUAGCAUCAUCACACACUAUGAUGCAGAAAUGGCUAGUGAGAGAGCAUAUGCAAGUAGUCAGUAUUGUGACAUUGUUUAACAAAAUAAAGAGUUAUUUCAUUCUUCAGUUGCAAGUUAUCUGGGUGUGAUUCAUAAUCAAAGACAUUAAAGGCCACAAAGCACUUACUUCCUCUUCUGUAGAAUUUGAAUCAAUUUUCCAAGCUGAAGCAGAUGUAGACAUAUCUUGUCUCGCCAUAGUUUCAGACCUAAUCGAACUAGGUUCUUCAACAGUAAUCUUCUCAUCCUCGGAAACAUCUUUAUCUUUUCUGUAUCCAGAUGCAUUGCAUAAAUCUUCCAUUCUUUCAGCAGAAACUUCUUCUUUCAUUCUCUCACAAUUUGACGAAGAUCCACAAGCAAAAUUUUCAGCUUUUGCAUCACCAAUACAUGAAUCUGCAAACUGGGCUGUCAAGGAUAUACUCGAGGAUAUAGCAAACAAUUCACAAUCCACAGUAAUCCCAGUCUUUUUAUCCGCUCUAUGAUCAUUCGAAGGAGAUAACAAUUCGCGCUGCCUUUUCUUCAUAAUCGAAGGGGUGCAUAUGAAGCUUUUAGCAGCACUCUUGAGUACAAAAUCUGGACUCUCAUCAUGAGAUGGCGAAUCCGAGAAGCUGAAUGGAUUAGAGAAGUUCAUUGAUGACCUCAUCAGUUGUCGAAUUCCAAGCGGACUAAAAUCCUGCUGGAGAUCGUCUGAUGAUGAUAUGAGAUCGCAGCUGACAAAUGGAAUAUCCAAGCUCGGAAAUCGGGGCGGUUCAUAGAAUAGUGCUCCAUUAUCCUUUUGUUCCUCAUUUACCACCAUUUGCUUUCCAUCUGAUAGUGCAUCAAUUUCCUUAAGAACUCCAUCAUCAGGACAUGUAAUUUGCACUAAAUUGUUGGUCUCUGGAAAAAUAUGAUUUCUCUCAGUUUCAUCACUCUUCCCUGUCGAUUUACCAUCAUUUGGGCAAAUAAAAGAGGGAUGAACUACAGUCGUCAAACUCUGGUAAUAUGAUGAGUCUAGCAUACUAGAUGAUGAAACAUGGUAUAAGGGGGAUGUGUAAGAACCAAAAUUUCUAUGAGGUUCAAAAGAAUAUGCAUCAUGUUGGCAACUUAUACCUGAGAGAUGACCACUAUUUGUCAUAUCUGGUGUACUAAUAGUAUACUGUAGGGAAUUAUCUUGGCAAAAGUCUGACGGAAAACUAUGAUCACUGCUAGUGACAGAAGCCGGCACUUUUGGUCCUCUGAGUUCCUCAUUUUCAAUGUAGAAAUUGCUGGAUGUUCCAUUAUAUUCCAGGUACUUUUUGGUAUCUUCUACUAAGCUAUCAUCAGGCAUUUGUUGUAAGGCCAUAUGGGUAUUAAUUCUUUGAGAAACUUCAACCUCAUUAUCUACAUCUCGAGCCUCUUCCAAUGCAGAACGUUCAUGUGGUACAUUGGGUAAUUCACGUGUGAUUUCCUCAAUUGAAUUCUGAUACUCUUGGGGACAGAAUGAGAAAUCAUAAUCUUGCACUUCAAAAUCAUUAUGUAUAGGCUUUACUUCCAAAUCAUCACAAAUUGGAUCUGCAUUACUCAAUUCACAACUGGAUUGAGAGCGAGGAACUAAGGCAGACGAGGCUUGACUACACUCGGACAAAUCUUCAAUUUCUUGCCUGAAUUUAUAGCCACUAUCUUCACUGUUUUGUCUAGUUACAGAAGAUGUGGGGAUAUGGUGGGAAGGAUUUUCUAUAUGAGAUAAGCCCUGAAAUUGUGAAAGUAAACCCGACGCUGAAUAGGAGUCCAACUUCUUCUUCACAGAACUGUUCCAGUGAUUUUUAAUUGCAUUGUCCGUCCUGAGAGUGAAACAUUUAAUAUUUGAUGAUUCAUUCCAGAGUUCAUAGAAAAUGAGUACUUGCAAAAAAAAAUUAAAAAAAAAGAGUUAACAAAUGAAAAGAAAAAAAGAGGUUUUGAGUAAUAUGAUCACACUAACAAAAAGGGAAAAAUAAUCACUUCUGAAAGACUGAAACAUGUAGGUUCUAGUUCUGAUUAUCACCUUCCUGGUAAAAACUUGGUCAACUCAGCCCACUUAUUUCCAUAUAUUUGAUGAGCAUGAAUCAGUGCUAUCUCCUCAUCUUGAGUCCAUGCCUCCUUGUUUAUUGCGGGGUUAAGAUGAUUGUGCCACCUGAAGUACAUAUUUUCCACCAUUAUAUAUGAUUUUUUUUUUUUUGAAAAAGUAUGUUUUACAAACAAAAGCAACCAAAUGUUCAAUGAAAAUACUAACAAACAAUUAUUAAAAUCAUAAAUUGCAAAAAUAAUGAAUAUAUAAAGUAGGAUAUAGAAGCUAGAUAUUACGUUUUCAUUUCCGGGAACGUAUUUGACACAAAAACUGCAAGAUACUACAUGUGAAGAAAAGAAAGGGCAUCUAACCAGCUGACAGAAGAAAAGCUUGGCUUCUAAAACAUGUAUGCCUGGGAUGAUAUUUAAGAAGUUAACAUAUAGAUUACAACCUAUCUCAAAGGGGAAUACGCAAUUGAAACGAAAUGAUUAAGACAAUGAUUAGCAAAUGGAUAGUUGCAAGUUGCAACCUGAGUGACAUAGAAUCCAAGGCUGGCGUGCCUUCAUUCAACUUGGAUAAUCUUAUACAAUUAGCUUUGAUGCCUCUUUUGAAUGCUAAUUUAUACCUAAUCCUAGAUUUUGGGGUAUUCGCUCUUAGCUAACAAUCAGUAUGAAAAGGAGGAACCAAAAGAUGAUUAGGGAAGAUGGAGGUUAUUAUAAGUAUCACCAAGGUGACGAGACAUGUAAAAAGUCUGAAAACUUAUGUUAAUGCUGAUUAACUUAAUGACUUUUCUAGUCCACACAGUACCUUUCUCGGCAUUGCUUUCCAAUGCGUCCUGGUAAUGCCUGUGAUAUUGUUGACCACUUCUUAGGACCAUAUUUUUUCACCAUUUGAAUAAUUAUCUCAUCUUCCUGUAAAGAGAAAAACCAGUAAGAAAAAGUUGGAUGUAAAAACAAACCUAUUAGACAGAACUUGUGAACUGACGUUUAUAAGCAAUAUAGGAAAUAAGGACAGGAACAAUUCAGAUAACACUGUCGAUUAUAUUGCUUACCUGUUUUGACCAAGGUCCCUUCACAAGUUCAGGAUUUAAAACCUUCUGCCACCUGUGCAAGCAUUGAACAUCCGUCCUAUCGAGGAAACAUUCAGCUGGAAGAUACAGCAAAUAGAUAUUCAUCAAGCUUCAACACAUAUAAGAAAAGAAGCUAAUAUAUCUUCAUUACAUAUCAAAUGAUAGCCCAUGAAAAUAAGAAAUUCAAAACACAGCAAUGUCGGUAGUUUUUGUAUGCAUGAAUGGCAAGACAUGAAUUCAGAAUAAGAAGAAAACAAAAAUCGUUGAUGCAGUCGCUGUAUAAUUUCACCAUUCCAUGCACCACCAAGAAAGAAAAUUAUAACCAAUAUAACUGGUUCACAACAGCACAUAAUACCUAACGACUAUACAUAUCAACUAUAAGAAUCAUGAAGCCUGUAAAAAUAGCACACAAAGCAUAAAUGGCGAGACAAGAUUGCAGAAUAAGAAGAAAACCAAAAUUGUUGAUUUAGUGGUUGGAUCAUUGCAACAUUGAAUGUACCACAACCCAAAAAAAAAAGGUAAACCAUGUGACUGUUCCACACAAUUAUACUUUAUAAGAAAUAUGAAGCCAAUAAAAAUGGCAAUUUUAUUAUGGUAAUGAUGUUAAUAUAAUUAGCUGCAUCAUUGCCACAUUGCAUGCACCACAAUUUUUUUUUUUAAAAAAAGGUAAACCAUGCGACUGAUCCACAAGAGCACACAUUACCUUAAUAAUACAAAUAUGAAGUAUAAGAAAAAUGAAGCCUAUAAAAAUGGCAAUUGUAUAAUAGUAAUGGUGACGGUAAAUGGCAUUAUAAUCUACAAUAACCAUAAACUGAGAAGGAUGAAAAUGAACAUGAUUUAACAAUUCUCACAAUUCUAACACAAAUAUGAAGCAAUAUGAUGCUUGCUGAUUUUAAAUAAAUUAAUAAAUGGGCGAGGAUAUAUGAUGAAUGACAUCAAACAUGCAUAUGCCUGCAUGAUAAAAGAAUUACAAAGAGAAAUUCAAACAGAAAUACAUAAGAAAAACUUUAUUUAGGCUACUUUACUUUCUAGCCCAGUACAUUAUUCCUAUUAAUUACCUAUCUUUUUCCAGUUUUUGCCGUUGAAACGCUGAACAGCAUUGCACAGUAUGGCAUCCUGCAUAGAUAUAACAAAAUAUUCUAAACACACUUACACGCAACAUCCAUAAAUUCCAAGAAAAUGACACUUGAUCCUACUAAAAUGUAAAAAAGUUCCUGAAAUAAAUCAGUAAUUCUUGAUUGUCUUCAGAGAAUUUUCAAACAAAUCAACUGUCACUGGCUCAUAAUUGCAAGCUGUUCUAAACCAAGUGCUGCGGAAAUUUAAAGUAAAGCUUUUUUGAAAUCAUUUUUCGUCAAAACUUCAUAUGAUCGCAUUCCAUCUGCUACAGGGAAAGUGACUGUGUAGGUUUUGCAUCCACAAAGAAGAAUGUACUGGACUAUAUCUUACAUAUGGUAUCAUUCAGAGGUUACCUCUUCAGGUGUCCACUGGCCUUUGGUUGAGCGGCGUGUCGGACCAGUGGUCCUCCUGCAGAAAAAGUUUCAGUUUGUGAACAGCACAUUAAAUCAAAAAGACAUAAUUGGUGGGUUAGAAGCACGUAAGACGGAUUUCGAAGCCACAUCACAACUAAGGUGAAUAGUGUCUAAAAGGGUUUACCCAUUCAGUGGCCGUCGUCUCUGAGCAUUAUUGCAACUCCCUUGAUGAGCAGCCACUGAAGUAGAAGCUUCACCUCUCUCGGAAACCGUCUCCUUGUCACUUUCCAUUUCUGACGAAUAUCUCUGUCCCGAUCCCCACCCGAUAGAAGAACUUCUCAAAGAAGGAUCCCCAAACCAUCAUAAAGAGCCCAAGAGGGCACUACGAGAUCCCUCUGAUGACGACCAAAUCAUAGGCUGAGAAAUGAAAUCAACAAAGAUGAAAUUUAGCCCUCGACAACAACAUUCUAUGAAAUCUUGUCAAUUUGAACAAUAAUUAGUGGAUAUUCGACAUGCAAUUAGAAGUCUCAAAUAAUCUAAGCUACUAAAUUUAAUAUCCCAACCAAGAACUCAAAUUGCCAACUUUCCUGGAAUUAUCAAACCAAAUCUCCAAAAAAUCAUAUACAUUUACCACACCGACCGAAAAUCUUCCCAGAAAAAUAAAAAAAAAUCCAAAUUGCGCAUUCUCCAAGAAAUAGCAACUGGAGAAACAAGGUCUUACGACUAUAACCUCAAAAAGCAAACCCUAGUUUGAAAUGGGCUGAAACAAUUCAAAUCUUGAAACAAAGAAGGUAAAAUUCACAAAACUUCACAUUUCCAAUCAAACAGAUGCAAUCAAGGAAUCUUAGUUUCACAAUUGAUCAAUGGCGCGUAUGAGAUCUAUGUAAUGCCUCCUCCAAAUGGAGAUCGAGAGAGAGAAACGAAGGGGAAGAGAACUGAAGAUGGGGGAAAAUAUUUUAUCCGAUUCGUUCUUUUGCAAACUAUAAUUAUUAGAGGGGACGUAUUCGAGCCGUUUCAAAACCCUACCCUCGACUCGUGUGAGAUCGGACGGAGGAACGCGCACGUGCAUGAUCGGAAACGCGAUCCUCUCCGUCCGCUGUGUGAACGUUGGUGCCCAUGGUCCACGCGAGCCGCCCCGAAAUUUUGAAUUCCAACGGCUGACUACCGGCUGUAGGCGGUGGAAGGAUGUGCGAGUGACCGGCUGAGGAGAGUGAAUCUUGAAUUCUUAUGGCGAUUUCAUAAUUUUUUUUUAAAAAAAAUUAUAUAUUUUUAUAUUUGCAGCUUUGGUCCUUUUGACUUUGCAAUUUACCUAAAUUGAUUAGUUAUGUUCAGAAUUUUUUUUUUUUUUUUUUUUGUUACUUGAUCCAGUCCAAUCGUAAGUAUUUGCUCUCGAUAUGGUUUGGUUAUUUUGGUCCAAACUUGCUUGUCUAGUUUACUACUCAUUUGGAAAAUAAUAACCCAUAUUUCUCUUUCUUUUAUUUUUAAUUGCAGCAAUACACACUAGAGUGUUGCUAACAAUAGGCAAAAUAUUAGAGGUUUUGUUGUAAAAAAAAAAAAUAAAUAAAUGUGGUUUUGAGGUACGAAAGUUGAAGCUAAUUCGAAAUUUUUAAUUUGCCGUAGAGAAAAGCUAUCAGAGGAAACUAAUUUAGCGCAUGUUUUUCCUAAUAACAUUUUCCAAAAGUAAUUUUAAUAAAUAAUACUAUACUCUACAUUGAGCCAAACAACUCUGUUACUAAUAGGUUUCCAAACAUUCCUGACCAUCAUCACAGAUUUUUUUAAACAUAUUUAUCUUCUAGUAUGUUGAACAUCAGAAAUUUACUGAGUACGCAUCCCAUAAGUUAAUAAUCAACAGUCUCAACUUGAAUGGGCUGUUGAUUUCCGAACUAAUACCUUUUAAGUAAAUUAUCAACCGCGGUAGGCACUUCUUAAUUAAGGGCUAAUCUAGUAACUUCUAACUUUAUACAGUAUCUAAGGACCUACGAGUUAUGCAGCUCUAGCCUCUAAGUAAUUGUGUUUACUUUUUCUUAGUUGUCUUUAACUUUUUCUUAAAUCGAGUUGUCUCAAGUUCUAUAGCUGAAUUCAUUUUUCAUAUGUACAAAAUAGAUAACAUAAUAUCUUUCUCAAAAAAAAAAAAAGGAAAAAUUCAAACCUAGUCAGUGGAGAGGCCCCGUAGGACAACAUCGUACCUGCGAAGUUGGUGGCUCUAGUCUCUUAAGGAGGAUAUGGAUACAAAUUUAUUACACUAACAAAUGGUUGUUAGACUCAAGUAUUACUUAUUAACUGGCCUUUGGUUCUCAAAGAGAGACACUCAAAUGUGAAAUUUAUAUUUCGGAUGAACACUCUUGAUCAGACAGCAAUAAAAAAUUUUAUGCAUUGUUAUGAGAAGAAAAUAUUUAUUGGAUGCAUUCGAUCACUGGCGAGUAGUGAAAUUUAGGAAUUCACAAAGUUAUAAUUUUAUGAUGAAAACAUAUAGAAUGUAUCGAAAUUAUAGAUAAUUUUGAAUAUGCUAUUCAAUCUUUCAAACUUUUAAUUUACUAUUCAAUAUUUCAAUUUAUUUGAUUUGAGUGAGUCGAGCGAUAUUUUAACUUUAAAAUUUAAAUAAAUUACUUAUUUUAAUAAAUUUAUAGUUAAAAAAUUGUAUAAAGUAUAUUAACUAAACAUGUAAAGAUAAACGACAAAUUCAAAAGUUAAAAUCAGAGUAUCGUCGACUGACACAAAUGAAACAAAUUGAAAGAUUGAAUAGUAAAAUUAAAAUUUUUAAAUGCUAGAUAACAGAUUCAAAAUAAUCUAUUGUUGAAGUAAAUUGCGUAUAUUUUUAUCUAAUUUUGUGUUCAAAACAGUAACAAUUUCGAGGGAAAUGCAUUAAAAUUUUUUAAAAAAUCACAAAACGUACGGAUGCACCGAGUGUAGGGAAAGUGUCUCCAGCUAUCAGGUGACACCAUUUUCCGGCGCAAAGGGGGUUGAGGAUUUGCUCUCUCUCCAUGGAACGGAUCCCAUCGCUCCGAAACCAUCCCUCCUCUCCCCAUGGAGCUCCCUCCUCCACCCUUCACCGACCCUUCCUUUCUCCACCCCAACCCCACCCACCCGCACCUAGGCCCUCCCCCCUUCUCCUCAUUCCUCCAUGAGAGUCCCCUCCCACCUUCUCGCCCUUCACCAUCCGACGCUUCUCCACCCACACCCGCUCCCCACCCUGCUCUGCGAAGCCGCCUCAUCUCCCCCAAACCCUCCCCCUCCAUCAAUCACUCGCCGCCUCCGGCCGCCUCGCCGCAGCCCUCGCCUCCUUGUCCUCCGCCGCGGCCGCGGCCGCCCGUCGGACCCGACGGCUUCGUCUCCGUCCUCCGACACUGCGCCGCCCCGGAAACGCUAAUGGAGGGCCGCGGCGCCUCCACGCGCACAUGGUAGUCUCCGGUUUCGUUCACGACCCCUUCGUUCUCAAUCACCUGAUUAAUUAUGUAUGGUAAAUGCGGGCUCUUGGCUGAUGCUCAUUGGGUUUUUAAAGGGGAUGGCGAAGCCAAAAUUUGCAUUCUUGGAAUACCUUACUUGUGUUGUUAACUGCAAUUCGGAUUUUGAUAGAGCGCGGCAACUGUUUGAUGAAAUGCCUAAAAAGGAUACAGUUUUUCGUGGAUACGAUGAUCUGGUUAUGAUCAGCACGUUUCGGCCAUGUGAGGAGGCAUUGCUGGUUUUUGUCAGGAUGAGGAGUUCGGAUUCUAGGGUUGAUCAUUUUGGUGUUUCUAGUAUUAUUAGCGCUUGAUAGCAAUCUUAGAUUUUCUAAUAAUGGAAGCAGAGCUCCAUGGCUGUUCGAGUAAGUUGGGACUCGAUUCGCAUGUGCAGGUGGUAGUAGGCUCUCAUUGGGCUUUAUUGGAAAGUGUGGAGAAUUGGAGGAUGCUGGAAGGUCGUGUUUGAUGAAAUGGGUGUGAAAGAGAUUUUUUACGUGGAAUUCGAUGCUUGCAUGCUUAUAUUUGUUGCUCAAAGAUGGGAUGCGCUUACAUUCUUUGAUAAAUUUCCUGAGAAGAAUGUGGUUUCUUGGACUUCAGUUGUUGCUGGGUGCUCUCAACAUGAGAGGAAUGGAGAAGCAAUUUGUUAUUUUCACAGAAUGUUGAAAACAGGUCUUAGGGCUGAUAAAGCAUUGCUCGUUUGUGCUCUAACUGCAUGUGCAGGGUUGAUGGAUUCUAAAAAAGGGUUUAAAAUCCAUGCCUUGAUUCUGAAACACGGAGUUGGAAGUGAUGUGAUUGUUGGAAGUGUUCUUGUGAUGUUGUAUGCAAGAUGUGGAGGUUUCAGUGAAGCUAUAAGAAUCAUUAAUCAUAUGCCAUUAGUUGAUGACUUCUCGUGGAGUGUGUUGAUAGCUGAAUAUGCGAAGCAUGGGUUUAUAGAUAGUGCGAUUAAACUAUCUGACUGCUUGGAGAAGAAGAGUGUUCCAUUGUGGAAUGCCCUCAUUGGAGGUUAUUCUGAACUUGGAAUGAAUGAGGAGGCUCACAAAGCUUUUGGAAAAAUGCAAUUGGAGGGAAAAAAGGGUGAUGAGUUCACCUAUGGAAGCCUUCUGUUAGCUUCUGAUCUUGUUGGCUUGAGUUAUGGUGAACAACUCCAUUCACAAACUAUCAAGCUAGGCAUUGAUUCUUCUGUUUUUGUCGGCAGUGCUCUUAUUGACAUGUACAGCUACAACUUCGAGUGUGAAGCCGCUAUAAGAAUAUUUGAUGUAUUAGACGAACCAAACCUUGUGUGCUGGAAUUCAUUGAUCUCUGGGUUAGGAUUGAACAAAUUGGAUGGUAAAGCUCUAUGCGCACUUCGUCUAAUGAUGGUUUUUGGGCUAGUCCCAGAUAACAUCACAUUAUCACUUAUUCUUGAUUCAUGCUCAAAUUUACGAGCAUUAAGGGAGGGAGUACAGAUUCACACACUUGCCAGUAAAUUAGGGCUUGAAUCAGGUGUUGUUGCUGGGUGUGCUCUUAUAGACAUGUAUGCAAAAUGUGACAGAAUAAUAUAUGCGUCUCGUGUAUUCUAUGAAUUGCAAGAUCAUAGUGUAAUUACUUGGACUGCAAUUGUGGGUGGUUAUAUGAGAUGUGGAAUGUGGGAUGAGGCAAAAGAAUUGUUUGAUAUAAUGCCAGAGAGGAAUAUAGUUUCAUGGAAUGCAAUGAUUUCAGGAUGUGUGAAACUUGGCCGUUGUACAGAAGCACUUCAGCUCUACCAUCAAAUGCAUAAUUCGGGUAUUUUACCCGAUCAAAUAACUUUAGUUAGUCUGCUAACUAUCUGCUACAACUUUUUGCUAAAAGAGAAUGGGAAGCAGAUUCAUGCCCAGGUAAUAAAAAAUGGGUAUCAUAUAAACAAUCAUGUAACUAUGGUGUUGACAGAAAUGUAUCACAAACUUGAAGUACAUCCGUAUAGUGUAUUGUCUUUUGGGUCAUCUGAUCCAGUGCUUGGCAAUGGUACGGUAGAGCCAGAUGCUCUUUCAGGGAAUAAUUAAUGUCUGUUUGGCUUGGUUUCUGAAAUAACUUUUCUACUUCGAGAAACAACAACCAGAUUGUUGGGAAGCAAAACAUCGUGUGACAGGAGGCUUGAAUAAGAAGAAUUUCCAUCUUGAAGCUUCUGGUACUGCUUGUGCAGCAAGGAAGGAUGUUAAUGGAAAAGCUGUUUGGACUUUGUUGAUCAAUUCGAACAGCACUUUAGCAUGAGCCCCAGGUGGGCCAACUGGACCUAAGCAGUGUGGCUUUCUUUUGUGCUAGCUUUAAUUGGAAAGUUUAGGAAGGAAUCACAUCAAAGCUAGCUUAUUCAAUUUCCUUCUAAAUGAGAUGAUGCGUAUUAGCUCUGUGCAGUGAAACUGUACCAUCCCACUCUUAACAUUCGAUUGUUGCCUGGUCGACAGGUGAUAGAGGUUUUUCUCUUUAUUUAAUUCUUUAGUCCAAAUAUGGAGCCAAUGAGCCACUUGUCAGUUUGAUUUUAUCUCUUACAUAAUGCAGUCUUGUCCAAUUUCUGGAAGUGUAACAAUCUUGAAAGGAGGCGUGUGAGUGUGAAUUGGUUGAUGUUAAGAACUAACCAUGCAGAUCAGGCAAAUCAGAAAAUGUUUCCAAAUUAAUUCCUGCUUCUUCAAGGUAUCUCUGUUAAACCUUUCACAAGUUUAGCUGCAGUUUGAAGUUUGAAACAUCAUUUGUUUUCUUUCCCAUUUAGUUUUAUGAUGAUUAUCAUGAAAAUGCAAAGUCUGUCAUUGCUUAAGGGUUCAAAACAUGAUUUAAUCAUGGAAUAUUAUGCAACUCUUAUGGUUUUUUGACCUUUUCCUUUUUCAUUCACUUCUCAGUUGGAAAGCUGUUUUGAUCAAUUGGCAUUAGAGGAACUAGUGAGAGAACACAGGAUAACCUUUGAUUUGGCAAAAGUUCCUUAACCAAAACAAGGCUUGCUAGCUGACCUCAAUGUUUGGGUCAAAAUUAAAAUUUUUUAGUAAUAUUAGAUUUUGCCUUUAUUAAUACAUUAACAAAUUCAUAUAAUUAAUCAUGGAAAAGUUAUGCACCCACUUUUGUGUGGCCGCCCUCAAUACCACAGAGCAUUUUGUGCAUGCUUAACCUUGCUUCUGGAGAACUUACUCUAUUUGAGAAGCUAAAUGCAGGUAGUAGCAAGCAAAACAUCUUGAGCUUUCCACUGGAGAUACAAUUUAAAUUAGCUCUUCAGCUCAGAAGGAGAAGUUUCAAUUUAAUGUUUCUGCUCCCAGUUAUAGUUAGUUACUAUGAAGGGUUUUCAAUAAAAAAACUAUUAGGGCUUCUUUGAAAGGUCUAGAUCACCCUUUAUUUAUCUGUUGUAGAUGUCCUCAACAAUUCUAUAUUCAUCGUCCUUUGGUUGUUAGACUAAUUGCUCUAGGAAGAAAAAGAAAUUGCGAUUGGAAAAGAUUAUAUUAUCCUCUAGGAUUGGAUAUAAAAUACAUGAAAAUCUGAAAUUGAUUGCCGAUUACAUAAACUUGACCAACUCAUCUGUUUGUUUCUCAUGUUUGAGGAAAUCUUAUUGUUGAAAUUAGUUUCUUAUAUACCUUUAAUAGAAAGUUUGUUUCCCGAACAAAGUCAAAAUUCGUUGGAGAGGUUUUUAAGUGCUUGAAGUUGAAUUAUUAUUUCAAGCUGUUAUAGUGUGAUGUGCUGUUCCGCAAUGUAUUACUAAAUUUUUAGCCCUCGAGAUCAUUUGUUCUGCUAAAAAAAAAUUUGUGUCAUUCUUUUGGCCCUCUAGAAUAAGCUUUACAUGACGUGCCUUUUUGUGACAGAUUGACAAAUCUCUGCAAAUUUGAAGAAUAUGCUUCGGUCUUGUUAUUUGUGAGCUGGAUAAAUGGUAAUAUGCUGAUCCCAGAUUAAGCUCAAUCCAACAUUAGCUAACUCAUCUCUUUUUACUUCCUGGAUAUUGCACUACGUAAUUCAAUUUAUGAUACUUAAACAAAAAAAUUAUUCGUUGCUUCAGACUCUAGAAUUUCACCAUCAGUUCAACAAUUGGCGGGGGCGGUCAGGUUUUGUUACGAUAGUAUAUAUGUAAGGUUUCAGGAAGAAGGAAAAUAUUUGAGAUAUGAUAAUUUGUCAAGAAAUCAUUCUUAUACCAUAUGUGAAAUGUGCAGCAACAAUAUUCUUUCUUAACCAAUACGAAAAAUAAAGAGUUUGUUGUCUUUCAUUGCCAAGAAUGCGUUGUUCAGUUACAAAUGCUUUUAUAGUAUCAUUGUUUUACAUUUUAAAAUGUAAUUUUGUUAGCAUCGAUUAAGUUCUUUUAAUCUCUCUCUCUCUCUCUCUCUUUCUUCUGCUUAUGUAGUUCUAUCAUUGCUGGGUUAUUUCUUUCGGUCUGACUGAACUAUUGAACGCCAAUAACUUAGUUUCUAAUUUAUGUAAACAAUGCAGCCUUUUUUUGAGGAGUAGCCUUUCAAGUACCAGGUGGAUCGCAACUCAGAUUUUGCUCUUGUUCAUGAGAAAGAGUGCUUUACUAUUGAAUUCAAUGUUCAUUUAUUUACUUCUUUAUCCUUUUGAAGUAUCCUUUACGAUACUGAGGGCUCGUCUGACCUUACUGUAACCUAUAGUGUUAUUCGAUAAAAUACUAGUAGAGUAGUUCUCUUAGAUAAAGUACUCAUUAAAAAAUUAUUCUCUGACAAAAUCAAAAGCAUCAAAUUGCAGCAGUUGCUUUUAAGACUUGGAAUUUCAUAUCUGCUUCUUGCUGCAGCAAAAGCUUCGGAAGUGCAAGCAGAUUAAACAAGUCCUCGAUGUUAACCUGGGGAUCGGAGUCCAGGAGAAGGUAUUCUAAGGCAAGUGGACAGUGGGGCUCAUCUCAUGUGGCUAAAAGUUGUUUAUUUGGAUUUGAUGAUCAUGAGACGCGCACAUGGAGCAGGUCUGAUCAAGCCAAGCCUCAACUCAAUCGACGCAUUUGUUUUGUUCCAUCCAGUAGGUAUCCUUUUGUUGUCCUUUAGCUGAAAAUCUCAAUCGUGAGAGGCCCUUCAAUCCCCCAGAGUGUAUAGGUGUAGGGGGAUUAUUUUUUUAGAUAAUAUUCAUUAUUAUUAUAAUUAUAGCAUUAAUGGAUAAUUUUAGAAAAGAUAAAAUUAGAUUUGUUUUAAUAAAAAAUAAUUUAAUUUGAUUGUUACGGAAAAUGAAAACACUCUAUAUAUUUUUUUUAAUCUAUAAAAAUAGUUUUUCGAAUAAAAAAAUUUACGGCUUAACAAAAAAACAUACAAAAAAUAAAUUUUUAAGCCAUAAAAUUAUUUAUAGUAUAUUCUACUCGUAAUUAAAAACAUGCUUUAGCCUUUAGUGGAAGAAUCCAAUUUGUCUUUAAUGUAAUAAAAGCUCCCACCAAAACGGUCGGCUCAAUUAGAUGCUGUCCCGUGGGUUACGAGAAGAUGCCGCUUCUGAUGCCACAAAAUAACAACCCCCCUCCUCGUAAGUUUCAGCUGUCAGAGAAGGCACCACCAAGGUUUGCUUGGAUCCCUCUUUCUUUUUAGUCAGCUUCUUCUUUCUUUCUUGAAUAAUAUUAUAAAAUAUUUCUAUUUAUAAAUAAAUUUUAUAAUAUUUUAUAAAUUAAUUUAUAUGAUGAUAUUUAAUUAAUAUAAAAAAUAUAAAUUAUGAGAAAAAAAAGCAUGGCUUACAAUUUUAAGAUUAAUUUUCAACUGCUGAGCUGUUUAACUUAUAAAACUACUACGAAAUUUGUAUGUGCGCGUAGUAUUUUCUUUACUUCUUUCAACCGCAAUAGUUCAGAGUCUUCACACCUCGUUGGUGGACCCCACGCUCAAAUAUAUCCUUAUUAUUUAUUUUUUCUUUUAAUUUAUUUGUUUUAAUACAUGCAAUCAUACACAUAUGGCUUGAUAAACCGGAUCUUCUGCGGAAUUCGAAUUUGAAUGACCAAAUUACAUAGCGCGAAAGAGUUUUUCAGGCCAUAUAAAUAAUUAAUCAUUCUAAAAGUUUAAAAUCGUCAUAUUUAUAAUUUAAUGAAGUAGCUAUCACAAAGAGGACAACUCAAACUGGGUUUGAUGCACCUACCUCAUCAACUGCUGUAACCUCUUCCUAAGACAAUUUGAGAAACUAUCCAAAUAUCGUCACUUGAGAAUUGUUUUUCUUAUAUAUUAUAAAUAUAAAAUCUCUACUAUAAAUAAUUUUAUUUUUUUAUUUAAAGAUAGAGCGUGUUUUAAUUCUUGGUUAGUUACUUCUUAGACUUUGGGAUCAGGAGGAAAUCUAAUUUUGAACUCUGAUUUUUAAUUUUCCUAUCCCACCGUUACAUUUUUACGCUUACAAGUUACAAGGAGCUACUAAGUAUUAUUACUAUUCAGUUUAAAAAUUAGAAGAGAGUGUGUGUGUGUUUUACUGUUUCCUUUCUCUCUACUUUUCUAACUUAAUCCUCCAAAUAGGGGCGAUUUUCAGAGAAUAGAGAACCCACACAAUACAGCACUCAAUUGUUGCACAUCAGAGAGAGAGAGAGAUGGAGAAGAGAGAGGGGAGGGCUUUAGGGGAUGAAAGAGGAGGUGAUGAUCGGGGGAGCCCAAGCGUGUCGACGAUGGCCAUGGCAAAUAGGGGAGAGAGAUCGGGAGCUGCUUCGCCGUCGCCGGGCGAAUCCUCCGACGACCCCGAUUCCAAGCCUCUCCUCCGUCCGCCGCCGCCGGCCGCCCACCACCACCACCACCACCACACUCGGGCCGAGAGAGUCGCCUCACCCUCCUCUUUUGCCCUCUCUUCGAGCGCCUCUCAUCUCAUCUUUUUGCGCAAAUUGGUUUCUCUUAAAAAUCGGUUUUUGGGGGCCUUUUGCUGGGGAAUUUAUCCGAAGAUUCGAUCUCUAGGUUUUCCCCUUUCCUUUUCGUGUUAGGUUUCAUUUAUUUCCUUCAAAAAGGGAACUUUCUAGAACACUUGUUCUUUCUUAUGGUCUUUUGGUUUGCGUCAGCUUUUUUCUAAUUUUUGAGGAAUAGGUUUCAAUUUCUAUAUUUCUAACUGGUUGGAGAUAAUUUGUUUAAUUUGCUUGAAAGGGAGGCCCUUCAUCUAUUUUGGAUAAUUAAUUGUAUGAGUGUGAACGAUGUUCAUAGAACUGUUUGGUGUUUCCUCAUUCAACCUGUUUGGUACAAUUUCUCUUAGUAUUUGUCUCACUAUAUUAUUUACACCAAUUCAGCAUCUCAUGUCAUGCGACUAGGUCUUGAGGAGAAUGUUUCAGAGAAUCAUGCUUUCGAUGUUUCAAACUAUUACUUAACCAAUGGAACGUAUUAGACGGUAAAUCGGACAUAGGAACAAUAUACAUGUAAAAGGAUGAGAAAUUAUAUGUAGGCUGCCUAUCAUAGAAGAGACAAGUUAAUCACAAUUAUAAUAGUACCAUCUGGAUACUCUGAAUUCAGGUUCAGCAUAAGAUUGCUCUAAGGACUUAAAGGUUUGUUAUUUAAGAAGGAUAGAGAAACUGAUUCUCUUGGCAUAUGUUUGAUUAAGUGAUGCCUUUUUCUGAAUGAUAGUCAAUGUUAUUCGCCACAAAGCAAAUGUGUAUCUAGCAGGCAUCUGCAAGAUGCUGUGACUCUUUGAUCUAAUAAUCUUUCUAAGAAGCUUGAUACUGUUUUUACUGAUGAGGUGAUAAAAUGCAGGCAUUUCAUAAUGUUCUUCGCAGCUGGGCUUCAAAAAAGUUCAUGACUGGAUGGUGAGCUUCUUUUCUUUAGUACUUGAGAUUUGUGCAUUUCUCUAGAUAUGCUAUCCUCUUCCUCAGUAAAUGUAUCGACAUAUUUUUUCUGGCAGUGGUAUUCUGGGUGAGAUAUUUCUCUAGUUCCCAUAACCCUAACACUUGUAGAUUAAGGACCUUCAAGCAUUGAGUGAAACUUACCAAAAUAAAACUGUACUCGGCUAAGGAAUAGGUGAAAUGUUUGGAUAUACACCCCAUUUGCUUCUAUUGGUUUAUACAGCAAAGCUUUAUCUUUGGACUUGCUGUCCAAGGAAGUAUGUCUUCUAUCUAGUUCACAAUUAAUCUAUGAUUGAUCAUAUUGAUGUAUACUCUAGAAGUGGUUUUGGCAAUUCAUAUAAUUACAAUUGAAUUGCCUGUUUCCUGUUUGUUGAAAGUAGAGUUGAGCUCUCCAGGAGAUUGUGUGGAAUUAUUUGCAUACUUCGCUUAUUUUAUUUUACUUGCCAAUUUUUUACAAUAUGUGGAGUUGUGGACAUUAUUAUUUUCCAAUCCAUCGGCACUGAAGAGUUCCUAACAAAAUUGUCUUUAUUUAGUAUAUCAGAAACUUAGAUAACUAAAUAGACGUUUGCAAAUCUACUUAGAGAGCUAUCCUAGCUUAAAGCUUAGACUGCAAAAGUCUCUUUAGCUUAUGUGGCAAGACCCUAACUUUGAAAUGAAACUUUAUGCUGUUCCUUUUCAUACUUGUUCUUGUUUGUUGUUUUACAUCAUCUCUUCCUUGCAGUGUGAUCCUCUUUCCAAUAGCAGUUACUUCUAUAUCACAUGGUGGUUUAUUCACUUUGUGGAUGGAUUUUUUCUCUCAAUUAUUAUGCUCACUUUCGAUCAACAUAUUCGGUAUGGCAUAUUGUACUUCUAGUCAGUCCUUUUGAUACAUAUUAGAGAUGAUGAUUAGUUGUUUCGUUCUUCGCAGGCAAAGAAUAAAAACUUUUUUCUCAUCUAAACUAAUAUAAUAAUAUAUAUAUAUAUAAUUCCUACAAAACUCAGUAUAAUCAUAUCUUGAAUUUUUAUCAAAGAAAUUGAAGUAGAGCUCAAAUUACCUGCCCAAACAAUUUAUUAUGCACCUGGCAUCUUAAUUAGUGGCUAGAGUCUAGAUCUUACAUCUAUGAUCCAAAGUUUAAACUGGUUGAUUUUUUUUUGUGUUUUUCAGGACGUUGGCUUCAUAACUUCCAUAACUUUUAUAUUUUUGGUUGGAGUGUUCAUGUCCUCAUGGGUGGGGGCAUCUCUUCUUAGCCUUGAGAGAAGUGUUUAUCAAGAUGAAUGCCAUUUGUUCGCCCAUAUUUCCAUGUAUCCAAGCAAAAUUAGCACUGCAAUAUCACCUGGUGAUUUAUUUUCCCUGCCUUAUUGAUUCUUUUGGAUCUUUUUUCAUUUUGUAACUGACAUUCUCUAACUACAGAUCAGAACACACAAGCCUUCAAGGAAGUGGCUAUUAUAAGGCACCCUAGGAUUGGUGAAUACGCAUUUGGAUUCAUUACUUCAGCAGUUGUUCUUCAGGUUUUCAGAUAUACAUUACCAUGAAAUGUUUCCAAUGCUAUGCAUUUGCAUGGUUGCACAACUUCAAUGGCAUAUAAUGCAUGUGUUCGCUUAUGUUUUGGUGAUACGAGUGAAUAUCUUUAACUGGAUGAUCUGAAAAUCUAUACUAGUUUGGCAUUUCUAAGUGGAAAUAUCCUAUAGGACUGAAUUGUAUACUAGUUUGGCAUUUCUAAGUGGAAAUAUCCUAUAGGACUGAAUUGGUGUCCUUUACUUUUCACAGAUGUAUUAAGAUCUGUGCCACAAAUCAGUUGUUUACCUUUCACAAUCAAUUCACUAGUUGACGAAAGCAGUUUAUCUUUAUGUGUCCCCAUCACAGAUGUUUAGAUAUUCAGCCACUAAGGCAUCUAGUUUGAGAUCAUCAAAUAUUUAGUCAGUAAAGAAAUGAACUUUUUGACAAUAUUUGAUCAAAUUGACAGUGACAACAUUAUGACGGCAAGCUAGGUCUGUUCAGUUGGAAUACGCCAAGUCUAUUUCCAGCCAAAAGUUAGUGACAUACAUGGUAUCUGACCCUCAACGAGCACCUAUUUCUGAAUCCAAUAUAGUAAAGUCACUUAAAAUUAAAUGUGCAAUCCCUGGAAAGGCAGAAGAUUAGGCUGAAAAGUCUCUACUCUCUAGAAACUAAAUAUAACAGAAAACACAUAUCUAUUUGUCAUUAUCUCUGUCCCU